CUUACUCCUAUUUUAUGAUUUUGAGGUUGGUUGCUGAGAUGUGGUAUUAGUUUGCUUGUGGUUUUGUAUUAUAGGCUAAUGGCACUCAAGACUUCCAUGAUAAACUGAUAUUUACAGAUUGAGAAACCCAUACUAUUGGUUAUAAUUCCAAAAAUGUGCUUGAAAAUGCCUUAGGUCAGGUGCAUAUCGUUAUCCUUGUGCACUUGGUUAUGAGGUUGAUGUAGUGUCCCUCCUUAACAUAUUGAAGUUGUGGGUUUAUUUAUUUAUUUAUUUUUUUGUCUAUAAGUGAUAAUCGCUGCCCCCACACCCUUUCUGUGAAUUUCAUGUAACAAUUGGUGUAUUACUAGAGUGGAUAUCACGAUGGUCUCAUAGCAAGAGAAGAAGCUGUAGCGCAAGAGGGAUUUAAUAUUGGCUUUAAGGAAUCAGUCCUUGUUGGGUACAAAUGGGGUCUAGUUAGAGGUGAUACUAGUUCCUGAGGACUUGAAAGAGAGCAUUUAAAUUCUCAAGAUGUGGCAAGGGAUUGGAAUGAGCUAGGGGUGACAAACUGUGGAAAUGAGACAAAACUCCUAAGUGGAUCAGUCUAUCGAGGCGGAUUGCCCAAGGAAUUAUAUGUGGUGAAAGAUGUAUUAACUGGAAUGAGAAAAUAUGUUCAUCCACUGGACAUAACAACUCUAUCACAACUCAGAAAAGAUGCACAUCCUGGCUUUUAUAAUGGCUUUAGGCGCAUGGACUGUAACCAUUGGUGUACUGCUGGACUUCUAGAUACUUGGAAUCAAAUUUUUAUGCAUUUUUCA
Molecule: long non-coding RNA, 794 nt
Organism: Ziziphus jujuba (common jujube)
Lineage: Eukaryota; Viridiplantae; Streptophyta; Magnoliopsida; Rosales; Rhamnaceae
Exons: 3
Source: RefSeq, a predicted model, not a curated record